This 253-nucleotide ribosomal RNA is filed under the name uncultured bacterium. RNAcentral's name for it is "partial 16S ribosomal RNA". It matches the Rfam family "Bacterial small subunit ribosomal RNA", at positions 524 to 776 of the family's 1533-position model. The record is from RNAcentral.
GACGAGCCACACGAACGUUAUUCGGAAUUACUGGGCUUAAAGGGUGCGUAGGCGGUGCGGAAAGUUGGGUGUGAAAUCCCUCGGCUCAACCGAGGAACUGCGCCCAAAACUACCGUACUUGAGGAAGAUAGAGGUGAGCGGAACUCACGGUGGAGCGGUGAAAUGCGUUGAUAUCGUGAGGAACACCCGUGGCGAAAGCGGCUCACUGGGUCUUUUCUGACGCUGAUGCACGAAAGCUAGAGGAGCAAACAGG